RNAcentral lists this ribosomal RNA (538 nucleotides) under uncultured bacterium. Its description in RNAcentral is "partial 16S ribosomal RNA". It matches the Rfam family "Bacterial small subunit ribosomal RNA", at positions 355 to 909 of the family's 1533-position model. The record is from RNAcentral.
UGGGGAAUAUUGCACAAUGGGCGAAAGCCUGAUGCAGCAACGCCGCGUGAGUGAUGAAGGCCUUCGGGUUGUAAAGCUCUGUCUUUUGGGACGAUAAUGACGGUACCAAAGGAGGAAGCCACGGCUAACUACGUGCCAGCAGCCGCGGUAAUACGUAGGUGGCAAGCGUUGUCCGGAUUUACUGGGCGUAAAGGAUGCGUAGGCGGAUUUUUAAGUGAGAUGUGAAAUACCCGGGCUUAACUUGGGUGCUGCAUUUCAAACUGGGAAUCUAGAGUGCGGGAGAGGAGAAUGGAAUUCCUAGUGUAGCGGUGAAAUGCGUAGAGAUUAGGAAGAACACCAGUGGCGAAGGCGAUUCUCUGGACCGUAACUGACGCUGAGGCAUGAAAGCGUGGGUAGCAAACAGGAUUAGAUACCCUGGUAGUCCACGCCGUAAACGAUGAGUACUAGGUGUAGGAGGUAUCGACCCCUUCUGUGCCGCAGUUAACACAAUAAGUACUCCGCCUGGGAAGUACGAUCGCAAGGUUAAAACUCAAAUGAA